UACGUAGGGCGCAAGCGUUGUCCGGAAUUAUUGGGCGUAAAGAGCUCGUAGGCGGUCUGUCGCGUCUGGUGUGAAAUCCCGAGGCUCAACCUCGGGCUUGCAUCGGGUACGGGCAGACUAGAGUGCGGUAGGGGAGACUGGAAUUCCUGGUGUAGCGGUGGAAUGCGCAGAUAUCAGGAGGAACACCGAUGGCGAAGGCAGGUCUCUGGGCCGCAACUGACGCUGAGGAGCGAAAGCAUGGGGAGCGAACAGG
RNAcentral lists this ribosomal RNA (253 nucleotides) under uncultured bacterium. RNAcentral describes it as "partial 16S ribosomal RNA". It matches the Rfam family "Bacterial small subunit ribosomal RNA", at positions 524 to 776 of the family's 1533-position model. The record is from RNAcentral.